GCCUUCUUCGCGCUGUUGUGGGCAGCACGCUCGACCUGUAUUCGAGAGGUCCGCGGUUCGAGUCCCGGCGAAGGCA
Molecule: transfer RNA, 76 nt
Filed under: Stegodyphus mimosarum
Lineage: Eukaryota; Metazoa; Arthropoda; Arachnida; Araneae; Eresidae
Rfam family: tRNA
About the family: Transfer RNA (tRNA) molecules are approximately 80 nucleotides in length. Their secondary structure includes four short double-helical elements and three loops (D, anti-codon, and T loops). Further hydrogen bonds mediate the characteristic L-shaped molecular structure. tRNAs have two regions of fundamental functional importance: the anti-codon, which is responsible for specific mRNA codon recognition, and the 3' end, to which the tRNAs corresponding amino acid is attached (by aminoacyl-tRNA synthetases). tRNAs cope with the degeneracy of the genetic code in two manners: having more than one tRNA (with a specific anti-codon) for a particular amino acid; and 'wobble' base-pairing, i.e. permitting non-standard base-pairing at the 3rd anti-codon position.
Source: Rfam by way of RNAcentral